Molecule: long non-coding RNA, 420 nt
Filed under: Mytilus galloprovincialis (Mediterranean mussel)
Lineage: Eukaryota; Metazoa; Mollusca; Bivalvia; Mytilida; Mytilidae
Source: RNAcentral
GUGAACUUUGAGAGAUAAAAAAAAACAUGUUUAGUCCUGCAACAUGCUCAUGUGCCUGUCAGAAUUUGGUGUUCAUAUACGGUAAGUUCUUCUUAAUCUUUAAAAAUUUUUUCACAACUCUGUAAGACUUUGGAUGAUUUGCAACUUCACUUAUUGUAUAAUCAACAGUGUAUAGACCUGAAGAUUUCUGGUUUUUUUUAUGGGUUGCUGCCUCGAUGUUUACCCUGUACUCUUUUUUUCAUAAUGAUGAUCUAAUCAAAAAUUUAUUUCAUCCUGAUACUCACCAAUUAUGAUUAUAGAUUCUGUUCUUACCAUACUCUGGUAACCACAGAGAUAGCUGUCUUACUGUAUACAUUGCUUACUCUUCAAGGUCAUCCAAUACUGUUUUGCUCUCUAUCCUGUUGUUUGGUGCCUCUGAAA